CAUUAGGCAGCUGAAAGCCAGCAGCGGAAUUUUAAACCGCAAAAUAGUAAAUUGCGCCUACUCCUAAUGA
RNAcentral lists this transfer RNA (70 nucleotides) under Papunya picta. RNAcentral's name for it is "tRNA-Lys". The record is from RNAcentral. Lineage: Eukaryota; Metazoa; Arthropoda; Insecta; Coleoptera; Cerambycidae.